GUAAUCUGCAAACUUGCUAAUCAUGCCUUGUAUGUUCUCAUCCAAAAUUAUUGAUAUAGAUGACAAACAAUAGGCCCAGCACUGAACCCCGAGGCACACCAUUUGUCACAGGAACUGGGUUAUGCACAUUGAUGACAUUUAGAGCUUCUUAAUAGCUGUAGCAUUCUUAUCCUGCACAGUAUCUGUUCUGUACACCAUUCUUUAGUUUGUGUAUCUGAAUUGUUUCACCAUUACUAAUCCCUUCGAAAAACAAUACUCUUAGUGAAGGUGAGGUGAGUAUCCAGUGAUACAAAAUAGUACUUAAUGUAAUCCCUUUCCCAUUCUACUGAGAGCAGAAUUGUGGCUGAGCUUCUCAUCUAUAGUUCAACAAGUCAAAAGGGCACAGGGUGAAGAGGUUUGAGAUGCUGUGGGUUUGCUGCUUUGGUGUUUUUGGAAGAUCAUCUUGUUGCUGACAAUGAAACAGCUGAAUGCCUUUUCACCUCUUGCUCUUAAACCUACAUGUAUGUUCUUGGUUCUUGCAGCCAUUCUCAAAAGCGCUCCAAUAAUUUUGCAUGUUUCUGAUCUGACCAAAGCAAGGCCCAGUGUUCAAGGUCCAUGAUGACCAGAGGCUGACAGUUUGGUUUGCACAGAUACCUCCAGAUCUCUUGACCUCAUGCAUAGUUACGCUGGCUGAGUUGGCCUCUUCUGUAGUAAGUGCUUUGCUUCAUAUUUUCAAUUACCGCUCAUAAACGCAUUUUAUAUUUUCUUACUCUGCCAAGUGUUACCCAUUCCCAAUUGCCCUUGAGAAGGUGGGGUGAGCUGCCGUUUUGAACUGCAAUUCCCCUGAUGAAGAUGCUCCCACAGUGCUGCUGUGGAAGGAGUUCCAGCAUUUAGACCCAGGAACUUUGAAAUAACCAUGAUUAUAUUUCCAAGUAAGGAUGGAGUGCAACUUGGAAGGGAACCUGCAGGCGAUGGUGUUUGUCUGUACCUGCUUGUCUUGUCCUUCAGUGGAGGAGAGGAAAGUCCUGGCAAAUUAAAUGGUUUAUUAUUGUCGCCUGUACCGAGGUAGUGGACAACGUUGCUAUUGCAGAGUAACUUGUAGACAGAAUGCACUGCACUGUUAGGUCUCAUUCACAUUACAGCUGAAGUGAUCAUUUAUUCACCCUUGUGUUGCUUUGAAUGUCUACCCUUCAUUAGGAGUAAGAAUUUGUAGCUGUGUGUCAGAAUGCUGAUGUAAAAUUGGAAUGAGGUGAGAAGGGAUUAGUUCCUUUGCGAGGAGUCGCUCUUAUUUCCACCGGGGGGGGGGGGGGGGGGGGGGUUAGUGCGUGUUGGGGUCCCCUUGCACGUGCUUCAGUGCAUCCAAAUCCAGGCAGAUGUGAAUUAGAAUAAGGAAGGUCUUUAUAUACCUGGCCCUAAUCAAGGACAAUUUGCUGAGGACUGUACUUAUACACCUGACCCCAAUCUGGCAUCAGCUGUAGGUGCUCAAUCAACAUUUAUCUUCAAAUGCUAUCUUUGUUUCAGAAGAACCACCAAUCCGUAAGCUAUUGUUGGUGUUGAAGAAGCCCUGUCUCUUGGAACUCUUUCUCGUUGAUCUAUCCUGUUUACAGGAACAACUCUCAAUUUUUAAAUCCAGUCUGGCUCUGAAGCCUAUAAACUGCAAUUUGGAUCUUGCAUCUUAACCUGCAGUCAAUGUGUAACAAUUUGAUUUAGUGAGAGGUCAUUUGAACAAAGCACACAGCAAGGAGCAAAACAGUGAUCUGAAAUGACCGGAGAUUAUGCAUUGAAUCCGAAAGGUACCUUUUUAAAAAGUUAAUGUGUCAUUGAUUUUUUUUGUUUUGCUUUUAAUGCAGUCAUUCAAUCUGUCCACUGCAAGUGCUGAAGUUUCUAUCUCUGUCGGUAUGUGGUUGUCAGUCAGUGUCCUUCAUAGUUAUCUCUGAAUGAUCCACUGGCCAAUGGCCUGAUAGCAGAGAUUCCAAGUUAAUUUUAUCCAGCAAGUGAUUUAAAAGAAUAUAUAUAUCAUAGGUGCGGUAUGUUGCUUCAAGUUCUGCUCUUCAUAUCUUUUUGAAUAGAUCUGGUUUCAUUUAAGAAAAAAAUCUACUUCCCCUCCUCCCUGACCUCUGCCCUGUCUGCUCUGAGUCUGACGUAGCCAGCAUUUUUUCCUGUGCCUGAUCACUGCCGUUACACAGCAUCACAGUUAGAGCUCUGCCACUGCACAGUUCCACAUGCCAUUGGCCUCUCCCACUGGCUCUGAAGCUGCCGGUCAGCUCACAUCGAGUUGGACCUAUACAGAGAGUGAGAUUAUCUCUGAGCUCUGCACCUUUUCAGACGUGCAGCAGUCGUCUGGUUGCUGGAGGAGGCUUGGCAUGCAUCACUUUCAUCAUGGGACUACAAGUGGCUUUGGAGAGCAUCUCGUCACCUCUCCACCCAUUUCAAGGGCUGCGUGCAAUGUUACUUUGAUUAAAAUUGCUCAAUUUCAGAUGGGUUCAUAUGUAUCGUGUGAAGCUGCCCUCCAAAAGAGGCUUUCUGUACACCUUCGUGCUGAAUCUGAAUUUUCCAGAAUUGCAUAGCGGGCUGGGCUUGUCACCUGACUUGCUGCUAAUCUUUUCUUUUACAAUUCCUGACUCUUUCACUCAGCUUCUCCCAAUUCUGGCAUCUGCCUUGAAACAAAUCUACAAUUGAAAUUGAAUAAUUUGUUGAAAUGACUAAGGCUGACAACCACUUGUGUGGCGUUCAACCCACAAGUGAUUCAAUACACUUUUUAUGAAAAGCACUUUGGUAAAACUGGAUGAAUAUGUGGGGAGAAUUUAUUUAAAUAUAUUUGAGUCUUGUGAAUUAUGUAUAAAAAUGUGUAAAAUUCUUUGUUAAAUCAUUGUAUACUGGUUAUCAGCAUUGAUUGGUUUAUUUAUAAGGAAUCAUUUGAAAAAGCUGAGCGUAUGAGAAGCUAUGUUUUAAGCAGUGUGCAUAUCCAACUCUGGAUGAAUUUGUAGGAAAACAGUGUGAUUUAUGUGAUUAUGAUUGAAGCUGAACAGAUGCCAUGUUUGAGAAGGGAAGAGUGUAAAACGAUUUCAGCGAAACCUGGCUCAGAUAGUCCGUUCAGUCAAAAGAAGAGUAGAUCCUUUGUUGCCUGGAGGGAGGAUGGAUUAAAAAAUAAACCCGACUGGCCAAAAGAAAACUUGGGCAGAGCUUUCAAAUGAGGCUAUUGGGACAGCCAGUGUGAAAAUGGAGUAUGUCACAUUAGCCACCAGUUGCUCUGUGGCUGAAAUUAAACAGUCUUGUGAAGAUACUGUCCGAGGAAUUUUGAUCCUGCAUUUAACCCUCCUAAGCUUGGAUGUGUUUGAUACAAAUAUCUGGUGCUCAAAGGGGAAAAUAAUCUGUACUGCGAAUUCACAAAGAUCCAAGAACAGUCUUAAACAGUGAUUCAUGAAGGCUUUUUAUUCACGGGAUGAAUAAAAAAUGCAAGGCCAGCAUUUAAUGAACAUCUUUAAAUGCUGCUAAAACUGAAUGGCUUGCCAUUUCAAAUGUCAGUUAAGAGUCAAACUGUAUUGCUACGCACAGAAGCCAGACAAGGUAAAAAGAGUGGAGAUUUCCUUCUUGGAAGGACAUUAAUAAAACUAAUAUACUUAUGUUAUACUCUUUUCAUCUUAUGGUAUAAGUUUUUGGGGCUGUGUGGGAGAGGGGAAGGAAUUUGAAUAAGAUUUUUUAUUGAUAGUUGUCACUGUUGUGCUUUGUUAGUGGCCUUGUGACCAGUUUGGUGCAAAUGUAUCUGUAGGUACUGUACAUAUAAUAUAAUGCUUCUCACUGCUGCCAUCUUAAGGGGGAAAUCAACGUUACAAACAGCUUUGAAAGUAAUUGGGACAAAAAACAUCUUGAAGCAGACUGAGGUAAAACUUGCUUUUUUGAGAAAAAAAAUUUGCCGUGCGCUGUGACUGAACACGAAGGAAUAGCUGAUUCUGAAGUGCUUUAAAUUAGUGUUGGAGGCCAACUGUGCCAGUUUUAACUGGUGGUGGGGGUGCAGGAGGGGAGCGGAUGUGGGAGCAGGGGGGUAGUAAGAGUUUUAGAUUUUUAUUUAAUGGGGUGUCAUGCAAAUGUCACCACUUGGAACACAGCAAUCCUGCCACUACUGGGAUUUUAUAAAGCAAACACUGCAUCUAGGACAGUAAACACAAAAUGGUUCUGUAAGUAGCUCGACACAUUGCACCAUGUUUGGAUUACUGCCCUAUAUCCAAGAAGCUCUGCAUUCGAAGCUGCUGCAAAGCAAGUGGACAAGUUACUGACAGUUUUAAUGCAACAACCUUCUGCAUUGUACCAGUUGCUUAUAAGAAAGUGCACUUGUGCAAAUUUUACAUCAUAUUUUAUAGUAAAUUUAAUGAUAACCUGCAGGACCAAGAGACGAGGGUAUGAACUGUCUAUGGAGUUGAAUGUCUCACUAGAAUUUGCCUCUUUUAACAAGUUGCUGAACUGAGUUGCUUCAAAGUAUAUGUUUUGAUGCCUACUGUCACUAUGUGAAUGACUGCAAACUAUUGUACUGUUGGAGAAUAUAAACUGACAACAAACCUGCAAUAUUAAUGCUGGGCAUACUCAAAAAAUUAUUUCUAAAGUGACCAAGGACUGAGAUGUUUAUGUGAUCAAAUGUAAACUGGUUUAAGUCUAAGUUGCUUCUUGCUGAUUUGUUCUGCCAUAUUAUUCUGUGUUGGUUGUAAUCCUCGUAUCUCUUCCCUGCCCCAGCCAACUGUAAAUGGGUUGCAUUUUGUUCCCAAACCAUAAUCGGGCAUGAAAGCGCACAAACAUCUCUGCACCAUUUCCAUCGCAAUGCAUCUGUUGUGUCGCAAAAUUGUAGUCUUGACGCAAAUUGCAACAUUGAGAUUAGCGGCUGACAAACAUCGCAAAACAUUUAUUUUCAAUAAAGGCUCUCACCCUUUGAAUCAAUAUUGCAAAGUGGACUUUCUCUGCCCUGAGUCUGGUUUGUGUUGUGUGAAAAUGGUACAAGUGGGUUUGGAUUAAAUGAGGCGCAAAGCAAGAACUGGGGAAUGUCUUAGCACCUCCCCUAUGGACUCUGCUCCUAUUCUGUGAACAAUACAGGGAUUCUUCAACCAUGGCUCAGAUCUUCUCCUCUUUCUGAGUCUGAGAUUGUGCAUUCAAGUCCUGCUAGAGAGGCAUGUGCACAAGUUCUAGACCGGCACUUCCAGUACAGUGUAAUGCUGAGGGAGCUGUGUUGCCAGAGGGGCAAUGCCAAGAGUGUCAGGCUGGCAGAGGAGCGAUGCCAAUGUAGCACCCCACUUUUACAAGUGUCAUUUUUUUUGUGAGUUAUGAAAGAGGUCUGAUGCAAAAGAUUUCACAGCUCUCUUCAGAAGAGCAGGGGUGAUCUCCCUGGUCUCCUGAUCAAGAAUACUCCUGCAACCAACAUUAAGGAGCAGAUCAUCAGGCCCUUACCUCUGCUGAUUAUGGGAGCUUGCUAUGCGCAAUAUGUCUGCCACUUUUGCCAACAGCAUUACUGUCCGGAAUUAUUUACUGUGAAGGAGAUGAACCAUGUCAGGGUGGUGGUGGGGAAGGGGAGGUGGUAGUGCACAGGGCAAGAAGACAAUUCAGAGUAUUGACAAAUGACCACAAAGGAAUGGAGCCUGAAGAACAAUGGGCAUGGAUUUGAUUACUUUCCACAAGGUUCUGUCUUCAUGGGCAAACAAUUUAAAAGAAUUUGGUUGGAAACUAUUUGGUGGGUGAUGGUGGAUUGCUUUUGAACCAGUGAGAGAGAGUGCAACAUCUUUUCUGGCACUCUGUCCUAUAUUUGCACAUUUAGCUAAUGACUGCCAUUUAUGUUAAAGUCAACUGCGAAAAAGUGUUGAUGGGGUCUCGGCCUGUUAAAUUUAUAUUCCCUAACACUCGUGAGUCCCUGCUUAAUUUCCAGUAAAUGUCAAACCCGAGCUGCUUCAGUGCUUGUGAUUUGUUACAGAUAACUACCACGAUUAGUUGGUCAGACCUUAAAGCUUAAAAGGCUACCCCACCAACUAUGAGGCUUUGCAAGAUUGCCUGUCAACGUUCCGAGGACAAGCUGCCCCCUCUGUUUAAAAAUGCAGUGUCUGACUACCUUUCAAUUCCAUCCCAAGUGCCAACUGUCCCAAACAGCGGUCUGUGAAAUUUACUGUUGUUUAAAUCCCCGGCUUUUUGCAAUUGCCGCAGAACUACAACAGGAGGUGGGAUGAGUCGGUAAUAAAGCACAAAGCAAUUGUUUUGGUCACUUUAAUAUUCCUCAUUCUCAAAUGGAACUAAUUUCUGCACUAAAGCCAUAUUAUAGGGUUUUGGUUGAUGUUUUUAAAAAUCCAAGCAGGUCCACUAAAGUUUGAGAUUGCUGUACUUUGUCACCAUGAACAUUAUUAUCAAAUAAGCUGUCAUAGUGAAAUACUAUUUCUCUUUCAUCCAAAAUGAAGUAAUGCAAGUGUCAUAUCAAAGCUGCCAUUGCUAUAAUGCAAAAUAAACAUUUUAAAUAUUUAUUGAAUAAGUUGCUUUAAAUCACAGCAGCAAAAUGAGAAUUUAAAAUUUGAUUCAAAGCAUCUGAAUUAUUUUAAGAAGUUUGAAUAGCGUUUCUUUGUUUGAACUGGAUCAGUAUUUUGUGUUUCAAGUGCCCCUUUCAUGGCUGUCAUUUGGAUAGAAAAAACAAUCCUUUGUUUAAAAGAUUAUUCAGGGGAUAAUGUAGUGUUCUGUUCAAUGACCAGUGUCAGGCAAGGUAAUACAACGUUCCUGCUAUCUCUUGCUAAUGGAGAUAUUUAAAACAAAAGCCAGCCGAAUCGUACAGUGCUGCUCAUAGUAGGGCAGCUAAGCUGUGUUUUAUAAACACCGCAGCACUAGUCUGUGCUCAGCAUGUAUAAUAUUGCUGCUAAAGUGUAAAUGUGCAUAAAGUCUUGUAUCCCUUUAAGAGCCUGUGGCUUUGCCUUAUUGGGUCAGUAAAUGUUGAUUGCUCUAAGCACUACUUCAAGUCAAUUGGAUCUUGGAGAAGCAAGUGUGAUGAACAUAGAUGCAAUAUUUAUAUUAAAUAUUGAUUGGUGUAAACUUGUUUGAUUGA
Amblyraja radiata (thorny skate) is the source of this 7033-nucleotide long non-coding RNA. RefSeq lists it as uncharacterized. The record is from RefSeq and is a predicted model, not a curated record. The transcript has 2 exons. Lineage: Eukaryota; Metazoa; Chordata; Chondrichthyes; Rajiformes; Rajidae.